Molecule: signal recognition particle RNA, 86 nt
Filed under: bovine gut metagenome
Description: Bacterial small signal recognition particle RNA
Rfam family: Bacterial small signal recognition particle RNA
About the family: The signal recognition particle (SRP) is a universally conserved ribonucleoprotein involved in the co-translational targeting of proteins to membranes.
Source: RNAcentral
CCCGCGCAACGGGACCCUGUGAACCGUGUCAGGCGGGGAACCGAGCAGCACUAAGCAGGUAUUUCCGUGUGCCGCGGGCCUGCCGG